UGGGUAACCUGCCUCAAAGAGGGGAAUAGCCUCCCGAAAGGGAGAUUAAUACCGCAUAAUAUGUUUAAGUCGCAUGACUUUAACAUCAAAGGAUUUUCUUUUAAGAAAUUCCACUUUGAGAUGGACCCGCGGCGCAUUGGCUAGUUGGUGAGGUAACGGCUCACCAAGGCAACGAUGCGUAGCCGACCUGAGAGGGUGAUCGGCCACAUUGGAACUGAGACACGGUCCAGACUCCGUAGGGAGG
This 244-nucleotide ribosomal RNA is filed under the name uncultured bacterium. RNAcentral describes it as "partial 16S ribosomal RNA". It matches the Rfam family "Bacterial small subunit ribosomal RNA", at positions 118 to 348 of the family's 1533-position model. The record is from RNAcentral.